RNAcentral lists this ribosomal RNA (492 nucleotides) under uncultured bacterium. RNAcentral describes it as "partial 16S ribosomal RNA". It matches the Rfam family "Bacterial small subunit ribosomal RNA", at positions 29 to 507 of the family's 1533-position model. The record is from RNAcentral.
AGUGAACGCUGGCGGCAGGCCUAACACAUGCAAGUCGAACGGCAGCACAGUAAUAGCUUGCUCUUACGGGUGGCGAGUGGCGGACGGGUGAGGAAUACAUCGGAAUCUACUUUUUCGUGGGGGAUAACGUAGGGAAACUUACGCCAAUACCGCAUACGACCUACGGGUGAAAGCAUGGGAUCUUCGGACCUUGCGCGAUUGAAUGAGCCGAUGUCGGAUUAGCUAGUUGGCGGGGUAAAGGCCCACCAAGGCGACGAUCCGUAGCUGGUCUGAGAGGAUGAUCAGCCACACUGGAACUGAGACACGGUCCAGACUCCUACGGGAGGCAGCAGUGGGGAAUAUUGGACAAUGGGCGCAAGCCUGAUCCAGCCAUACCGCGUGGGUGAAGAAGGCCUUCGGGUUGUAAAGCCCUUUUGUUGGGAAAGAAAAGCAGCAGGUUAAUACCCCGCUGUUCUGACGGUACCCAAAGAAUAAGCACCGGCUAACUUCGUG